Small nuclear RNA from Trichechus manatus latirostris (Florida manatee), 107 nucleotides. The record is from RefSeq and is a predicted model, not a curated record. Lineage: Eukaryota; Metazoa; Chordata; Mammalia; Sirenia; Trichechidae.
GUGCUUACUUCGGCAGCACAGAUACUAAAACUGGAAUGCUACAGGGAAGGUUGGCAUGGCCCCUGCUCAAGGAUGACACGCAAAUUCAUGAAGCGUUCCAUAUCUUU